RNAcentral lists this ribosomal RNA (497 nucleotides) under uncultured bacterium. Its description in RNAcentral is "partial 16S ribosomal RNA". It matches the Rfam family "Bacterial small subunit ribosomal RNA", at positions 28 to 507 of the family's 1533-position model. The record is from RNAcentral.
GAUGAACGCUGGCGGCGUGCCUAAUACAUGCAAGUCGAGCGAACGGACGAGAAACUUGCUUCUCUGAUGUUAGCGGCGGACGGGUGAGUAACACGUGGAUAACCUACCUAUAAGACUGGGAUAACUUCGGGAAACCGGAGCUAAUACCGGAUAAUAUUUUGAACCGCAUGGUUCAAAAGUGAAAGACGGUCUUGCUGUCACUUAUAGAUGGAUCCGCGCUACAUUAGCUAGUUGGUAAGGUAACGGCUUACCAAGGCAACGAUGCAUAGCCGACCUGAGAGGGUGAUCGGCCACACUGGAACUGAGACACGGUCCAGACUCCUACGGGAGGCAGCAGUAGGGAAUCUUCCGCAAUGGGCGAAAGCCUGACGGAGCAACGCCGCGUGAGUGAUGAAGGUCUUCGGAUCGUAAAACUCUGUUAUUAGGGAAGAACAUAUGUGUAAGUAACUGUGCACAUCUUGACGGUACCUAAUCAGAAAGCCACGGCUAACUACGUG